GAUCAUGGCUCAGGAUGAACGCUGGCGGCGUGCCUAACACAUGCAAGUCGAGCGAAGCGCUUUGGUGGAAUUCUUCGGAAGGAAAGUGAAGUGACUGAGCGGCGGACGGGUGAGUAACGCGUGGGUAACCUGCCUCAUACAGGGGGAUAACAGUUAGAAAUGACUGCUAAUACCGCAUAAGACCACAGCACCGCAUGGUGCAGAGGUAAAAACUGAGGUGGU
RNAcentral lists this ribosomal RNA (222 nucleotides) under uncultured bacterium. Its description in RNAcentral is "partial 16S ribosomal RNA". It matches the Rfam family "Bacterial small subunit ribosomal RNA", at positions 15 to 219 of the family's 1533-position model. The record is from RNAcentral.